Oncorhynchus tshawytscha (Chinook salmon) is the source of this 2973-nucleotide long non-coding RNA. Lineage: Eukaryota; Metazoa; Chordata; Actinopteri; Salmoniformes; Salmonidae. The record is from Ensembl.
GGAUGGAGUCUUUUCAUUUCAGUUAAAUUGGGUAUGCAGGAGGAUGGAAAUUAGGGGGUAUUUAAAGGGUUUCCGAAGGAAAGGGAAAGGAAGGGAUAGGAAACAUUUUAAUGGUGUAGAAAGCCCUGUAUACUAAAAAAUCCUAAUGAGAAAUGAUCACCCUCAUUAGAAAUUGACAGAACAGGGGGAUUUCAUUAUAAAAUUAAUGAGAAACAGCAUUCUCUAUCCAAGUUGUACCAUUACUUUAGGAGAUUGUUCUAAGUUGAUUGGUUAUUCGAAUUGUUUUAUUUUUGAUUUAACAUGUUUUUUUUAAUCACGUUUGAAAGGGGAAAAUGACCAGUUCCCUGAGGUCCUGGUCUUUGGGUACUUAUACAGUGGUACUGUGUUCAGGCUGCAUAUAGAAAGAAAAUUAUAUGUUAAUAAGGGAUGGCAGUUACAUCAAAUGGAUUGUGAUAUAGGUAUUGCUGAUUUCAUGUUGUGUUUUUGUUUUGAUACAAAUAUCACCAGAUUGGGAUCCUGGAGUGGGAAUUCUGUGAGGGGUUAGGGUGCUAUCUUCAUGAUCUGGUAACUCUUCCUAGAGAUCACCAGUAGAAUAAGGGAGUAUGGAGUAAUUUAGAAAAUAGUUUUAGCAGUAACAUUAUGUUGUGCUUUUUUAGAGAUGUUAUUAAGAAAAGGUUAAUGUCAUAAUUCGUCAUAUAGUCAAUGUUUGUCUGGUUUCCUGAAACAGAAAUGUACUGAACUUGACUGUUGUGAUCUGUGCUUUUUUUGAGGUUAUCAUGGAAGGUGACGUCAGAUCGUGUCUUAAUGCAUGGUAGAAUAAUUUGACCAUAGACAGUGUGUGUAGACCUCAAAACCCUCCCUAAUCGGCUGAAGAAAGAGCGACAAAGGCGUGCAAUGAGAGACAGUGACUUUUACCACUCCUAUCUGAGUCCGAGCCAUAAACCAGGGCCAGGGUGCUGAGAGCGCGUGUGGAGUGAGCGUGGAGAGAGAGAACAAGCUCAGGUGAAAGCAGAGAUAUAACCAAUGGCACAGGCUGAACACUGGAGAAUGAGUGUACAUCAAGAGACACCAGGCCGGGGAGUUGGGACAGCGUUGGUUUUGGACACACACUACUCCGUACAGUACCUGCAGUGGUAAAGAUUGUUAUGUGUCUCGUCAUGUGAAGUGAGGUUCAACUGCAUAAUGGGUGAGUGAAAAUACCAUGAUAGAGGAAGCGGAGCGAGAGAGACUAGAUUCCAUUGUAAGACAUACAGAUGGGUUGAGUCUGGGAGCUACUUUACACAUCAUAGUUGGGUUGGGUUAGAUGUUUUAUUGGUUAAUGCAUCAUAUGAUAGAGUCGUAAUUGUACUCUGAACAAAAUGUUGAAGGCAUUGAUGUGAAAGCAGAUACAGUGCUGAGUUACCUCAAGAGGAUGUAAUGUUGAUUAGGGAUACACACUUGCAUAUCAGGUGACGUGCCUAUCAGGUGAAAUGGAGGAGAUGGGGAACAAAGUGAAAAUGACAUGACUUGGGAACACCUCUCGGAACCGGGGGCCGAAAGGGGUAGACUGGGCGUAAGCAUGAGGAAGCUUUUUAGAGCUUUCAUUUUUGUGGAACUCUGCAGGAAAGUAUCUGGGAGGCAUAGAGUCGGGUGAAGAGAGAGUGGGAAUUGUCAGGGUCUCAGACUUUGGUUUUCAAGCAUAUAUAAUUAUGCAUAGCUUAUCACAUUGUUAAUACUGUUAUGUUUUGUGUGCCUUUUUGUUGCUUUCCAAGUCUUGUGCUCUGACUCUCUUAGGAACCAGACGGGGGAAGUAGAGAAUCUAAAAGCUGCUCCAUAUGACAUAUAACAAGACCGCAGAUUCAACUGGAAUGGAAUUUUGUUAUGUGUGAAAGAUGGAAAUAAAAGAUAGAUGGAAAUAAGAGGCCAUAAGUCUGAACUUGUAAACCUUGCGGUGAAUGUUUGUUCAUUGUUUGUUCCAUUUGUUUGUUUAAUUCAUGUUUUAUUGACAUUUUUUAUCCAUUUAUUAGUCAUUUCCAAGUUUAUAUAAAUGGCGUGGCUUUGGAAUAUGUUGGGGGAUGGGAGGAGAGCACUGUGUUGAUACAGGAAAGACAGAUGGACAUCUGUGGAUUAGGUUGAGGUCAGGAGGUGAGGUCAGAUCCCCUUAAGGGAGUAAUAAGGGUUAGGUAUCCUGUUAACCUUUUCCUGUUGAACCAUAAAAUAUAAGGAUUGGAGAGAAGGAGGAGUGUCUUAAGUGGCAUGUAUAUAACUGUGAUGGUGAGAAAUGUUUUGCUGUCUGAAUUACAGCUGUACAGAACCUUUGGGCAGAAUUCAACUUGGCUAAAGCUUCUCUAGUGUCCGUGAGUUAUUGACUCUGAAAAAUAAGAACCUAACACAUGAAACAUCAAUGCUUAUCUGUAUUUUGCACAUAUUCAUCCUCAUGAGGACCCUGGUCCUGAUCUGCCUCAGAGGACUGGACAACUAGACAAGCUGAUCUGCAUGGUUUACCAACAUUGGAUUAAAACAAGCUUAUAUAUUGGGUUCUGAUGGGGUACAGCAGUUGAACUAAGCUCAUGAGGAAUUUAUAAACACAUAUAAUUCAUAAGUUUUAAAAAAACAAUGUAACAACUAAGGAUUCUAGCUUGUAAAUAGAAACAUUGAUGGUGUACCUUGAGUUAAAUCCUUCACUUUCUAGGGAGGAAUUUGAACCUCCCCUUGCCUUCUUUCACAGCCUCAACCUGAGGAGGACUGGUAUCAUUAUGGGCCUUAUUGACAGAGAUGUUGGCUCCAACUCAUCUUUUCAGGUCUGCUGAUUUGAGGGAGGACUUGACACUAAAUAAUAUAUAUUUUUAAAGCCUGUGCACAAUAAUUUUGGAUGUAAUAAACUACUUUAAUGCAAAAAUAUUUUAAACACAUCUACAAAUAUAUUUGUUGUCGGCCUAAACAUUAUAGUUAUUGCACAAUGUCAAAAACCAAGUAAACAUGUUUUAAAGCCUG